CACACAUCCGAACACACACAGACACACACACAGGUCCACAAGGAAGGGGAAAGUCAGCCUGUCAGGAACCAUGACAUGAAACGGUAUGAUGUGUAAGUUUACACCACACAGUUGAAGUGGAUUCAUCUCCAAGCCUCAGUGACGUUCUAGAGAACUAAAACAGAUCGGCUUGUAUUGUUUCCAUCCUCAAACACCAUCCAGAGCCUCUGAAGCCCUGAGUCUUCCCAAGUUUUUUUUAGACCUUGUGAAGCUAAAAGACAUUCUUGGACGUUUCAUGAUGUUGGCGGCAGAACACACACACUUCUUCAGGCUGCUGUGGCAGUGGAUUACAUCCAUUCAGUCGCGGAGUCAAUUAAAGCCUGUUAAAGUCAGCGCAGGCUUUGUUUACACAUUAUGGGAACUCUGUGAAGUGGGAGGAGAAGAAACAAUCUAAUGAAUGCCUUUUCAAAAGGUUAUUUAAGGCUUGUGUGUGUGUGUGUGUGUGUGUGUGUGUGUGUGUGUGUGUGUGUGUGUGUGUGUAGGAUUAAAGAAUGUCCUCAAACCCUGGAUCUUUAGGUUAAGCUCGUAUCCAAUACGUUUGAUCUAUGUUAAAGCAUCUUUAAGAAACUAUGUGAAUAAUAAUUAAAUGUUAUAUCUGUAAUUUAAAUAGCAAAUUAUAGAACUUCAUAUGACUUAUAAAUAUAUUUUUAAAAAAUCCUAUACCAAUCUUCACUAUCAAACUCCAGAAAAGAGUGCAAAAUUUUAAAAUUUAUUUAAUAACAGAGAUGACAGGAAAUGUGUACAAUUCAUAAUGUCCCAUAACAUCCCAAAGGUUAAUACACUUGAUAUACAAUGAUAUAAUCUUAUAUACAUUUAAUCAUUUAUAUAAAAUGCGCUUUAAAAUGCAGUGUAUAAAUAUCUAUGCUAUGAAUCGUGUGAGAAACAAGUUUUGUACUUGACGUUCCGGAGUCUGGGCUAUUGGGAGGGGGAGGGAGAAGUGACGAUUGGGUUCAAAUCUUCUUCAUCCUCAUCCUCAGUCUCUAACUAGAUUCUUGAAAUUAAACAACUAAAACCAAACACAAUCAUUAAAAGCUCAAGUGCGACUGUGACAGUUCUUGAUGCAUGACGCCUGUAAAAUCACUCCAAACAAGGACAUAAAAUGUCACGUAAAAGUAUGAGCCAUAAAUACUCGUGAUGCAGUGCGAGUGCUUUUUAACCAUCCCAAGUCAUUUUUUUGUACCAAUCAAAUGAAUGUGAGGACUGCCCAUGGGAGGGGCGACAUGACAUUUUCCCCGGCCGAGAGUAAACAGGUCACGGACCCUCCAUACACACCAUGGCGGUGGGAGGGAGAACUUUACCGCACCGUGUAACCGAAUCAAACCAGUGGUUGCCCCUUUUCAGCCCGCUGGAAUAGCCAUAACAAUACCAUUCAGAGGCGAGCAGAGAAGACAUGCUCCUUUCAGACGCCUUGAGAGAAAGGCUUUCAUCCGCUGGAGCAGCUUUGUCGCCUUUGAGGGACGAAAAAGAAAGCUCUUUAUGAUCUCCCCAAAGCUGUUUGUUUUCUUUCACCUUAUUUCUAGUUUUUCUUCUUAGGACAGGCUCGAAGGCCGGAGCAUCAGAGAAGCUCGAUUCUGGGAGGAGAGUUUUGAGAUGCGAGGGAGUGCUAGGCGUCGUCAGUGCCCCGGUGCUGACCUAGGCCUUUCAGGGUGCUUGAACACAUCAGAAUUGCCAUUGUUGAGGUUGAUUAAUUGAGUCUGAUAAGUUACCAUGAAUGAAGAUUGUUAUAGAGUUUAAUGUGUUGGGCCUGGGUUUGUAAAUGCCCCUUUCACGUUGCUCCACGGCCAAGCAUAUGGGCCAGACGUAUUCAUGGUUUCAAAAAAAAAAAAAGAAGGACAAAAUUUAUGGCUGUGUGUCUUAGCGUUUUUUUUUCUUCUCUCCUUUUGAUCAUUUGCAGAGUGACUUUUGUAGCUUUCAAGCACUAGUCCAAUAAAAGAGAAUACUUUUGUGAAAGUGACAGUUAAAUAGCACUAACAGCGUCUGCUUCCAACAUUUUAGCUGCUUUGUCACGUUUCGGAACAUGGCUGGAAUAGUUGAAUGUGUUGCAAACAGAAAGUUAAAACAGAUGAUGUUUAAUAUAUUUAAUCUAUAGGGAUUAAAAAAUAUAAAUGAAAAUCAAGGUCCUAAAUAUCUCUGCAGACUUGACACAUUUUAGGUUCCCUUAUAAAAUAAAAUUUUAAAUAAGAGUGGUUCGAAAGAGUUAGAGAAAGUGUGUGAAAGUGGGUAAGAGGGUGUGUGAGAGUGAGAGAGGAUGUGUGAAAGCGAGUGAGAGAGUGUGCUAAAGUGUGUGUGAGGGGGUAAGAUUGUUUGAGGGGUGUGUGAGAAAGUGAGCGAGAGUCUGUGAAAGAGUGAGAGAAAGUGAGAGAUUGGAAAAGAGUAUGUGAGAGAGUGAGAGGGUAUGUGAGAGAGAGUGGGCAAAAGUGUGUGAGUGAUUGAGAGAGUGUGUGAGCACUACAUCGAUGAUCACCUGAGAUUACUACGAGGACUGAUUAAACCUAAUCUGGCGAUUGACCACAUCGUUCUGUCCCUGUGUUAGUACUUGUGCCUUAUCUGCAGCGUCUCAAUUACCAUGUGUCAACGAUGACAUAUAGGCUGCAUUCCCAUAGAUUUGUGUAAAGGUUAGUGACCAGACCAGUGGCUAUUUACCCCUCCUCCUUCCUUUCACCCCAGUCCUCAGGCACGCUGCUGGUUAGCCAUGCUGACCCACUGACACUUACACAACUUCAUUAGAACAUCAUACGCAGUUCAUAAGUUACACAUUUGGGAUACAAUUCAAAGCCUUUUUUAUGAUCAAGUACUAAUUUUCAAGAAUGAUAUAAUGCUAUAUAUGAACUAUAUGUAUGAUUUACACAAAAUCUAAAGAAAAUGUCAGAUCUUGAAACUAAGUGCUUUUAAAAUUUCCCUUAUUUUUUUGACAUUAUCGCCCAACCUUAACACCUGAACCUUAUCACCUGGAGUCACUGAAAUUCAUUUUAUAAUUCUCGUUAUUCUUUGAUAUUAUGACUAAAUAUAAUUAAAAUAUCCUAAGCCUUUGCACUUCA
Molecule: long non-coding RNA, 3077 nt
Organism: Tachysurus vachellii
Lineage: Eukaryota; Metazoa; Chordata; Actinopteri; Siluriformes; Bagridae
Exons: 2
Source: RefSeq, a predicted model, not a curated record